UCAUGACCUGAGCAGAAGUCAAGAGUCAGAUACUUAACCAGGUGCCACCCAGAGAUAAGGAAGCCAUGACCUAAGAAGGCUGAGGAUCUUGCCCAAAGCCACAUGACUAGAAAGCCUUUUGCUGUCAUUCAGUGCUGGAAUAGAAAAUAUAACUGGAGUUUUGAAAUAUGAAAUGUAUUAACAUGGUAAGUAUCUAAAUUAUUUUUUUGUGUGUGCUGCAUAAUUUCUAAAUGCCCCCUUGCCCCUCUCUUUUUCUCCUUUUUUUGGUGUUAGAAUAAGAAGGAAAGG
Canis lupus familiaris (dog) is the source of this 288-nucleotide long non-coding RNA. RefSeq lists it as uncharacterized. Lineage: Eukaryota; Metazoa; Chordata; Mammalia; Carnivora; Canidae. The transcript has 3 exons. The record is from RefSeq and is a predicted model, not a curated record.